Molecule: RNA transcript, 3932 nt
Organism: Cynara cardunculus var. scolymus (artichoke)
Lineage: Eukaryota; Viridiplantae; Streptophyta; Magnoliopsida; Asterales; Asteraceae
Gene name: cyclin-dependent kinase G-2-like
Exons: 9
Source: RefSeq, a predicted model, not a curated record
UUACUAUCUCAAAUCUCUGUAGAACCACCGAGCCCCGCCGCCAAUUGUACAACAGACGGUGCCGCCGGUAAGCGCCUUACGAUAUUGUAAACUCUAUCUCUCACACGAGACACAAGGAAACGAACUACUGGAUGGGUAGAAGCUUCUAGGUUUCGUUUGUUAUUUCCCUCCUUUUUAAUCAUAUUUUUCCAUUUCUAGGGUUUCAUAAUUGAUUCAAAUUGGUAAAGUUGAGGUACUUGAUUCGAUUAUGCAUUGAUUUUUAUCGUAUUUGUUCGAUCUGUGUAUUAUUGUUUUCCGAUCUGUUCCUGUUGACCUAGAAUUACGUAUAGUUCCGUGUUCGUUUCAAAAAAGUAAAAAGCUUGGGGAUAUUUAAGUUUCUAGUGUUAGGGUUUAGAGGGGUGAAUUUUGGUUUUAUUUUGCAUAUGAACAAGUAUAUGGCGGCAGGAAGACAUGGAGGGUACCGUGAUAAUGAAUUUAGGGAGCGUGAAUCUGAUUUAGAUGUGUCUAAGAGGGAAUUUUCUUAUUCUAAAGGGGAAUAUGACCGUGUAAGAAAUGGUGGUAACGGGGCUUAUGAGAGGGGUAAGAAUCGGGCCCGUGAUAGCAGAGGCGGGGGUAGGCUUAGGCAGAAGGACAUUAAAGAAAGGGAGUUGGUGAACGGUGGGGGUUAUCGUUCUGCUUCUAGCAGGAGUUAUUCAGGAGGAAGUGGUGAAGGUGGAGAUUCAAGGCACGGUGAUUAUCACCUCAGAGUGGGAGAUCGAGAACCUGGGGAGCUGUCUAGUGAGAGUGGGUCUGAUGAAGCUGUUGAUUCAGAAAUACAUGGUAAGAGCAAUGAGGGUUCUAAGAUGGAUAACAGUUCCCAGUCUUCUUUAUAUAGCAAGAAGAGGAAGUUCUCACCUAUUGUUUGGGAUAGAGAUGACAAGGAAGCUGGUAAUUCAUCUAUGACUAGAUCUUCCCCAGCAAAUACUACUCUACCUCCUCCACCUCCAGUGCCUAAAUCUCACCGUCGAUCACCUAACUUUGUUCCUGCAGCUGUUGUACAAAAUUUCCCUGUAGAAAGCAACAAGCUUCAUAGUGCACAUCAGUCUCCAGGUAAUACUCCAAUUGAUAUUGGGAAGCAUGAUUCUUCUGGAUUUGAAACCCAUGUUGGUCUAUCUUCUUCCCCUGUCCAGGAAGAACAUGUAGGCUUAUCUUCUUCUCCUGCCCAGGAAGAGCAUGCUGUGUACAUUCAGGAUGUAGUACAACCAGAAGACGUCGAUUAUCUGCCCACACGGACUAUAAGAUCCUCUCGGUGGGCAAAUGAUGCCAAUUCUCCAGCUGAUGAAGGUGAACUUUCUGAUGCCUCAGGUGAUAACAGGAUCCAGCAGAGGACUGGGUCGGUUGAGAUUAGAUUACAGAAGCAGUCAUCCAGUCCAGAGGUUGAGGAGCAUCAUCAAGAAGGUACUGAAGUAAUUAGAGGACGAUCAUCUGAUUCCAAUGAAGGUGGUUACCGUGUUAGGUCUUCAAGUGUGGAGGAUUUUCCUGACAAUGAUUUAGGAAGGAAGGACUACAUGGAGAUCGACAAUGAACACAAAAAAGAUGGUGCUAGUCUAAGCCUAUCAGAAUCUGAUUCAGAGAAUGGAGAUGGCUCUCCAGGUACACCAGAGCCUGCUGGCCCUCCUCAAAGAUGUUUUAAUAUGCUGCAAGGUUGUAGAAGUGUUGACGAGUUUGAGAGAUUGAACAAGAUAGAUGAAGGCACUUAUGGUGUUGUUUAUAGGGCCAAAGAUAAAAAAACAGGAGAAAUUGUUGCUUUAAAAAAGGUCAAGAUGGAGAAAGAAAGAGAAGGAUUUCCUUUGACUUCUCUAAGGGAAAUAAAUAUUCUUCUUUCGUUUCAUCACCCAUCCAUUGUGGAUGUGAAGGAAGUGGUAGUUGGGAGCAAUCUUGACAGCAUUUUUAUGGUAAUGGAAUACAUGGAACAUGAUCUUAAGGCAUUGAUGGAGACGAUGAAACAACCUUUCAGUCAGAGUGAAGUUAAAUGUCUUAUGCUCCAGCUAUUGGAGGGAACAAAAUACCUCCAUGACAAUUGGGUUCUUCACCGAGAUUUGAAAACUUCAAAUUUGCUUUUGAAUAAUCGUGGUGAGUUGAAGAUUUGUGAUUUUGGAUUGGCUCGUCAAUAUGGGAGUCCUCUAAAACCAUACACUCAUUUGGUGGUGACUCUUUGGUACAGGGCACCGGAACUUCUGCUGGGAGCAAAAGAAUAUUCUACUGCAAUUGAUAUGUGGUCGUUGGGUUGUAUCAUGGCUGAACUGUUAUCUAAGCAACCACUGUUCAAUGGGAAAACAGAGUUUGAUCAGCUUGACAAGAUAUUUAAAACCCUUGGCACUCCAAAUGAGACUAUUUGGCCUGGGUACUCUAAACUUCCAGGAGUCAAGGUGAACUUCGUCAAGCAUCAGUAUAAUUUAUUGCGGAGAAAAUUCCCGGCGACAUCUUUCACUGGAUCACCUGUUUUGUCUGAUGCUGGGUUUGAUUUGCUGAACAAACUUAUAACCUAUGACCCUAAGAAGCGUAUAACUGCUGAAGAAGCUCUCAACCAUGAGUGGUUCCGUGAAGUGCCUCUUCCGAAGUCUAAAGAUUUUAUGCCCACAUUCCCUGCUCAGCAUGCCCAGGACAGGCGUACACGGAGGGUAAUGAAAAGUCCUGAUCCUUUAGAGGAGCAGCGUCGAAAGGAGCUGCAGCAAGCUGAAUUUGGGACAGGUGGUUUAUUUGGCUAGGAUGAUGGGUGUGGCAGAACUUUGUUAUCUCUGAUUUUGUUUUUAUGCUGUACCCACAAAGUGACAUUGUCGAGGUGAGGGCCCAUGUACUGAUGGAAAUGGUAACAUUGGUUUUGAGAUGAUCAUCCAUGCUGUUUUUUAGCAGGCACCCUUUAUCAUCUGGGUGGGGAGAUGAGAUGUCUUCUGCUUGCUCUCAACUCUAUGCAUAACAGGUUGACUUCUUUGUACAAGAGGUGGUUGGUGUAGCAUGGAGGUGGAGUUCUUAGCUUUUCAUUGACGGAGUAUUUUUUCAGAAAAUGUGCAAUUUCAAGUAUGAAAGCAAGCAGGUUGUGGAGGUCACCCUAUGCAGUUUGGAACUUUUAAAUUUUUCGUGUAUUUUCCGUUCUUCAGGCAGGAUUCUUAUAUAAAAGAAACCGAGGCAGGCAUGUGGUUUUAACCAUUUUGUAUUUGAAUCUAUUAUAUAUAGCCUUGCGAAGCCUGCCAUUAAUCUUUUCAAUUAUGCCAAGCGUUUCUGCCAUUGCACUUUUGCCGACUCAUCAAGCAUGACGCUUUACUUUCCCCUGGUUGUGGUGGGUUCGAGUACCUUUUCUCCUUCGCUGAGCUCCAGGUUUUGGUACCCGUCUCUCUAGUUUGAUUUUUAUUGUGUUUUUGCUCUCUUGCUAUCCCUUACCCACCGUUAUCAAUGUACUGUUUCUCGGUUAGUGCUCCUUAUUGGUCGAUAGCAACGCAUUCUGGGAAAAAAAGCAUUGGUUUUGGAUCUACUCAUACAUGUGUAGCCAUUUUGAUUUUUGUGAUCUUUGGCUAUUAUCAUGGGUCAGGAUGAAAACAGAGAUCUGGUUUUGCCGAACCCUUAAAGAACCACACGGUUCAUCAAACUUUGUGCAGUUUCCUUGUUUGUUCAUCGUCUAUUUCAUUCGAUCGUAUUUGUUUUUUAUGGACAGAAAUAUCGUUGGUUGCGUCACAAAAUAUGUAAUUGACAUCCAAAUAUGAAUGCUGUGUCUGUAUUCUACAAGAUUGAGUUGGUUCAUGUUUUGAUAUUAUACAGGUUGUUAGGAAAUGGUAGGAUCGAUGGCUGAUUCUUACUUUAAGUAUAUAUUAUAGCAAUCGCGCUUGAAGUAUAACUGAAAGGAGUGAAACAAAGUGUCGCUUAAGGAAACAUGGGUAUUGAAAAUCUUAAAAAUCCGU